Molecule: ribosomal RNA, 253 nt
Filed under: uncultured bacterium
Lineage: Bacteria
Description: partial 16S ribosomal RNA
Rfam family: Bacterial small subunit ribosomal RNA
Source: RNAcentral
UACGGGGGGGGCAAGCGUUGUUCGGAAUUACUGGGCGUAAAGGGCUCGUAGGCGGCCAACUAAGUCAGACGUGAAAUCCCUCAGCUUAACUGGGGAACUGCGUCUGAUACUGGAUGGCUUGGAUUCGGGAGAGGAAUGCGGAAUUCCAGGUGUAGCGGUGAAAUGCGUAGAUAUCUGGAGGAACACCGGUGGCGAAGGCGGCAUCCUGGACCAAUAUUGACGCUGAGGAGCGAAAGCCAGGGGAGCAAACGGG